This 4640-nucleotide long non-coding RNA is filed under the name Paramuricea clavata. The record is from RNAcentral. Lineage: Eukaryota; Metazoa; Cnidaria; Anthozoa; Malacalcyonacea; Plexauridae.
AAACCACAUCCGACAGUACUAAGACACUAACCAUGGGAAUGAAGAAUACUGUCUAGUUUGCAUAAAGUAGUUGCUCAGGAAAACACCAUCAUUACACAAGGUAUAUAUAAUAUAUUCUUCUGCAAUUUGUAAUGUGAUUUUGUAUACCGUAAACCUCCGAAUAUAAGCUCCCCUGUGUACUGUAAAGCCCACCACAACGCUCGCCUCACCCCGAAUAUAAGCCCAUUUGUUUAUCACUAUUAAUCACUAUUAUUGCUGUGCUUAACACUUGUUUAUCACUAUUACUAUACUUGUUUAUCACUAUUACAGUACACUAACACAAAAGAUCGUCCAUGUAUAAGCCCCCGUAUAUAAGCCUCUCCCUUGUAUAAUCCCAUCAAAAAUCACAUAUGAAAGAAUAUAAGCCCGAGGCUUAUAGUCGGAGGUUUACGGUAUGCCUUUGCAGGCUUCACCCACUUGGCUUAUGUAGUUGUAAAGACUGUUCACAUGGGCAAUAGAAUAAAAAAGUUAGGAAACUUUAUGCAGACAUAAUGGACUUCAUUAUCUACAUGUUUUUGUCUUGGUUUAUGCAAGAAAUGAUCGGUUCAUCGUCACGUGUGUAUUGUAUUUUUGCUAAAGCAACCAAAAGCUACUGCCAUUUGUGUUCAAGCUUGAAGAGUGCAAAAAUGUUCAGGUUUAUUUACGUUUCAAAGGAUAUCACGCCCGUUUGGCCGAUAAAAUUGAAUCGUUUGAAAAUAUAAAAAUAUUGAUUGUGGAAGAAUAUACUUUUAUUCUUGUAUUCUCGUGAUUCUAAAUUCUAUACAAUCAAUUAUUUACAUUUUGUAGCUGAAUUAAUGUAAUGUUACAUGUUGUAAACAACUUAAAAAACGACUCAUCUUAUGAGUUCAUUGGCGAAGUAAUUUUAAAAAUAAACGUUGUCUAAGCCGAGAAAAUCAAAGUUAAAGUUUAUGUAAAUCAACAUGAAUCUGUAUCACAUAUACAGAUACGACACGCUUAUGAUUUUUCCUUGUGUUUUCUUCAUGAAUUAUUGAUGAGUUUUUUAAUAGGGAUUUACAGCACAAAAAUGUACAAACGUCAUUGGAAUUCAAACAAAACAUGACAUAUUAUGUAACGAAUAAUAACCGUUGCAUGGUUCAAACGACCGGUUUUGUUGGUCAAAAGGGCGCGAUUACCCCCCGGAACAUUGCGUUUAAAACAUAAACAAACGUGGAAAAAAUUUGCACCCUUCAAGCUUGAACGCAAAUGGAAGUAGUUAUGUUUUCAACCAUUGUGUAAUAUCACAACUGCAUGGGUAAUUAAACCAAUUAAUGCUAUUAUUGGUUGGUUGGGCAAGAAAACAUGACCAGCUAAACAGAGAGUUAUGAAGUGGAGAUCGAGUUACUGUAUCUUGGAGAGUUAUGUUCAAACCACACCCACUUUUCCCAACGACCACACCCAAUUUCUUAACUCUCCCAACGUUUCCUUGAACUAACAUCAUGAGAGAGUUAUGUUUUACACAACUCUAUAUCUCUCGUUAACAUUAUGAAAAUGUUAAGGAAUUGUCAUUUUUAUAACUCUCCGCAUUCAUGAUUGCAUCAUGUGGCAAUGAAGAGAGUAAUAAGUCAGUUUUUUGAGAAAACCUUCCACAUAUUAGUACAUUUUACUAAAUUUACAAGUGUCAAUAUUUUACGCUAGUAGAAACUAAUAGUACUUUUGUACUUACCAAGUUCAUCUACAGUAUAUGUAUGUAAAUGUUUAUAUAAAUAUACAUGCUCACUUGGAUUAUCUAGCAAGUCCAGCAUUCAGAUACAUAUUUCUAUGUGAGAGCACCUAUGGAACAUUCUCCCUAGCAAUAUUCGUGACACUUCAAGAUCGUUAGCUUACUUUAAAAUCUCUUUAUUCAAUUACUACUUAAACCUUUUAGAACAAAUAUACAACCCGUACAAUCCUAGAACAUUUAAGUCUGUGUGCGUCAAAUGCCACUCAACUCGGUCUCUUGAUAGUUAUUAGUGAGGACAUGUUGUUGACAUUUUAGCACAAUUUGUUUUAAUGUUAUAUAUUGUAACUUAAUGUGAGGGGCCCCAUAAUUGGAGAUUAUCUCUGUGGCUAGUCCCUGCCCGAAUUGUAUGUAAAUUUUGUCUUAUUUAUGUCUGUUAUGUUUGGCGAAUCUUGUAAAAUUAAAAAAAUUAAAAAUAUUAGAUAGAACAAGAAGAUCUUAAUCCAAUGUAAUGCCCUAUUGGCUGAUCCUGGAAAGUAUUUCCAAGGCCUGAAUUGCUGAAAGAUUCAAUUUUCUUAAUUUUCUUGCAACUUAUUCUUGCCGUAUUUACUGCCAAAUACACGUCAAAACAUGCUUCUGGGGGUACUAAUUGACUGAGUCAAGUUGCAUUUCCUGUUUGGACACAUUCUAUUGACACGCUACAAACUGAAAUACCAAAAAAUAAGAUGAAAAUCUGAAGAAACAAGCUUUACUAACUAAGGUUUUCUUAAAAAAACUGACUUAAUUAACUCUAGAGAUUCAUUGCCAUAAUCGUGAACACGGAGAAAAUGAUAACUCUCUAACAUCUUCAUAAGUUAACGAGAGAGAGUUGCGUCAAACAUAGCUCUUGUAUGUUAGUUCAGGAAACGUUGGGAGAGUUAAAAAAAUGGGUGUGGUUGUUGAGAAAAGUGGGCGUGGUUUGAACAUAACUCUCCAGUCGGUAACUCUCCGGUUGGUAACUCUCCCUUAAGUCAUACCCCAAGAAAACAAUAGAGAGUUUAAGUUCGACUUCCGAUACCGAUGUCUUCACUUCUGUUCUCAUAAAGCGUAAUAAGCUAUGACACGACUGAUAAAGUAUAGAACACAUUAAUCGUCACCGAAAAAAUGACUCAGACAAUGCCAAUAAACAAAUAGUUUACGUGUUUAUUGUAAAAGUUAUGAAAUAUCCGAUUUAUUUGAGUUUAUCUUACAAUUCCCACGACUUCCAAUACAUUAGGCUGAAUUCGAUAGUGGUGACUUCCAAUACACUUGUCCUUGUGCUUCUUGUGAGCAGAGCGCAUGUGCAUGACAUGUUGGUAUUGGAAGUCGAACUUAAACUCUCUAAUACACAUGUGACGAUGAGCCAACCAUUUUUGGCAAAAACCAAGACAAAAACAUAGAUCAUGUAUGGGGUCUAUUAUGUCUGUAUCGAAACAUAACCUUGACUAUGAUCACAUGGGGGCCAAUGAUGGGCCUUUUAACCAUGGAUGGAUAAUAAAAGCAAGGGAUGAUUUAAAAAAAAAUUAUCAACACAAGCAAAAAAUUUUGAGAAAAAAUAAUCGCACAGGUUGGAAAUGCCCGCCCCCCCCCCAUCACUUUUCUAAUGGUCUGUCCCUUAGUUGACUAUGUCACCAUCAAGGGGGGGGUACCUAAUUGGAUGGACAGUUGAUAUACAUACAGUAAGCUACUUCUUAGAAUAUUUAGGGGUGCACCGGGCUGGAACAUCGAUUUUUUAGAGUUCCGGUUCCGGCUGGAACUAGUAAAAAAGCAUGGCCGGAACCAGAACUCUGUCGUUUUCAGAGAUAGAAUAUCAACCGUUUUUGUGUCUAACAAAAGGUCACAGUAGGAAGAAAUUUGGACUAUGCAAGGGAAAUGUACACUAGCACUUCAUUAUGACGUUUAACGCUUGUCAAUCUUAUUAUUCUAACAUUUGCAAGCUCUCUCCUUGAUGACUUGAAGUGUAUGCAACAGAUAAAGUAACAUAUGACUAUAUAUGGCUUAAUAAAUUAGUUCCGGUUCCGGCCAGAACUUUUUUCCAGUUCCGAUUGGAUACGGUUCCAGCCGGAACUUAAAAAACUGGUUCUGGUGCACCCCUAGUUAUAUUAAUUUGCAGGCAAAUACAAGACUAUCGGUACUGCAUAUAAUGAAAAUAAGUAUUUUAUCACUAUGAUAAUUCUCGGUUGAAGCCAUGUAAUUAAAUACUUCUUAUUAACUCCAACUUAAGAUUCUCGCUGGUCAUGACAAUUGUAUCCGAAAGAAAGUGGGGCUUAAUGGAUGCUGGUCGAGUUCUAAACAGGGACCAUCAUGAGGACGUCCAAAUGCACAAAACUAAUUUCGUAUAUGGCAUCUUGAGAAGAAUUUUCACCAAAAUUUUAACAGUGAAGCUUAGUGGUGGCUGUGGAUACUUUUGGUAUAUUAUGUACUUUAAUGGAUUAUAAUGAACAUUUAUGGAUUACUAAGGAUAUUUAUUACCAUGAACAUGUCCGGACAUAUGUACCUCUAUAUUAACGGUUACCCACAGACAUCGAUGUACCUCGAUAAUGGAGCUGCACUAUGGUUAAAGUGAGGUCUACCUUAAGGUACAGAUUUUCAUUGUUAGCCUGCUAUUGGGCAGUAGUUAGCCUGCUAUUAGGCAAUAGUUAGCCUGCUAUCAGGCAAUAGUUACCCUGCUAUCAGGCCAUAGUUAGCCUGUUAUCAGGUAAUGGUUAGCCUGCUAUCAGGCAGUACCUGUAUUUCGGUAUUGAAUUUGUACCCAUGACUCUAGUUUGCAUGUGUGCGGUGAAGUCUCUGGGUAGGCUAAAAAAUGUAGUACAUUUUCACACAAUUUUUCCGAUGCUUGCAUGGUUACAAAACCGUUGACGUAACCUUGACUGUGACAUGCCACAUACUGUUGUGAUUUUUGGCGCUUAUGUUGAAACACGAUUGC